GCCACGCUCGCCGCUCUCCCGCCCCGGCCGGGCCCAUCUCCGCGCGCCUCGGGGCGCUGGGCCUCAGCCGGCCACGCCGCCACCUGCUGCUGCUGCGUCCCCAGGGAAGGCGAAGGAGCAUCUCCGCGCCUCCCGGGUCCUCGCGCCGAGCCCCUGCGCGGGGCAUGAGGAGCCCCGGGGCGCCGCCCGGAGACGGAGAGGACCCGGCUGCGCGCACACCUCGCCAGCGGCGGACGGGGACAUGAGCGGCGCGCGCGGGCUCCGGGGCCCGGCGGCCAGCCCCAGCCCGCGGCGGCCAGCGGGUCGGCGCUGCCCGGGAGAAUGAGGCAGGAGCCCGCGGCAGCCUCCUCCUCCUCCUCCUCCUCCUCCUCCUCCUCCUCCUGCUGCUGCUCUUCGCCUUCCUCCGGCUCCGGCGCCCCGGGCCCCGGCCGGGCUGUGGCUCUGCUGCGUGCCCCGCGCGCCCCCCGCCCGCCUCCGGAUGCGCUGCUCGGUUAGCCUGGGGCGGAAGAUAAAGACAUUUGCCACCAAGAUGGUAAUCACGAGUGGAAAUGAGGAGGACAGAGAGGGCCAGGAGAGAGAGAGUAAGGAAGAGAGUGUCUUGGCGAUGCUGGGGAUUAUCGGGACCAUUCUGAACCUGAUUGUUAUCAUAUUUGUAUACAUAUACACCACUCUGUGAAUGGCCCAGAGGGUGCUUGGAGGCCUCGGGGUGGCCGCAAGAUGGGAGUCCUGUGUGUUGACAGAUCCGUGAUCGGACGCUGCGCAAACAAGCAGGCUUGACCUACACACGCUGCUCAAGCAAAUGCACCUUCGAACUUUAUAAAAGGUCACAAAUACAAACCAAUCCUGCUGCAAGGAGCAGACACUAAAGCACAAUGAAUCCAACAAAACUCAUUCACACGACAAGGAACUCAGCGUCUUUGGCCCGGAGCCCGAGAGAACACUUGGAAGACCAGCCUUUGACGCCAUCAGUGAGCAGAUGGGUGCAGAAACUCAUGAUCGCAGAUCUCUGAUGGAUGUCACGCCUUGGGAGAGAGGAGCAGGGCGGCGCGGCUCGUGGGUGCGUCUCCCAGGACAUGUGCUUCACCGUCACUCAACGAGCCGUUCAGGAUGCGAAACCACAGGGGCAGCCCUUUGACAGACAUCCCAUCCAUCAAAAGUGUCUAACUAUUUGAUACUGGGGAGAUAACUUAUUUUUCUUUUUUCAUUGGCUUGACGUGUGUACCUGUUCAUAUCAAGGUUUAUAAAUCUAUAUUUUUAAUAAAUGUGCUCUAUUUUUUAGCAUGAA
Molecule: RNA transcript, 1285 nt
Organism: Canis lupus familiaris (dog)
Lineage: Eukaryota; Metazoa; Chordata; Mammalia; Carnivora; Canidae
Gene name: transforming growth factor-beta receptor type 3-like protein
Exons: 3
Source: RefSeq, a predicted model, not a curated record